AGAGUUUGAUCCUGGCUCAGGACGAACGCUGGCGGCGUGCUUAACACAUGCAAGUCGAACGGAAAGGCCCCUUCGGGGGUGCUCGAGUGGCGAACGGGUGAGUAACACGUGGGUGAUCUGCCCUGCACUUCGGGAUAAGCUUGGGAAACUGGGUCUAAUACCGGAUAGGACCACGGCCUGCAUGGGUUGUGGUGGAAAGCUUUUGCGGUGUGGGAUGGGCCCGCGGCCUAUCAGCUUGUUGGUGGGGUGAUGGCCUACCAAGGCGACGACGGGUAGCCGGCCUGAGAGGGUGUCCGGCCACACUGGGACUGAGAUACGGCCCAGACUCCUACGGGAGGCAGCAGUGGGGAAUAUUGCACAAUGGGCGCAAGCCUGAUGCAGCGACGCCGCGUGGGGGAUGACGGCCUUCGGGUUGUAAACCUCUUU
Molecule: ribosomal RNA, 426 nt
Filed under: uncultured bacterium
Lineage: Bacteria
Description: bacterial SSU rRNA
Rfam family: Bacterial small subunit ribosomal RNA
Source: RNAcentral